CACCGUGGUGACCCUGAAGCCCGAAACCGUCAGCCUGACCCGUGAACUGCCGGGCCGUACCGCGGCCUUCCAGGUCGCCGAGAUCCGCCCGCAGGUCAACGGCAUCGUGGCCCGUCGGCUGUUCACCGAAGGCGCCAUGGUCAAGGCCGGGCAGCCGCUGUACCAGAUCGA
Molecule: non-coding RNA, 171 nt
Filed under: uncultured Stenotrophomonas sp.
Lineage: Bacteria; Pseudomonadati; Pseudomonadota; Gammaproteobacteria; Lysobacterales; Lysobacteraceae
Source: RNAcentral